GCGUAUAUUAAAGUUGCUGCGUUUAAAAAGCUCGUAGUUGUAUCUCAGUUCAUGUCAAUUGGUCAAUCACUUAAUAGUGAUUACUUUUUGACUGAACAUUAAACCGAUUUGUUUUCUGAUGCUCUUUACCGGGUGUUAUUAACGAUCGGGAUCUUUACUUUGAAAAAAUUAGAGUGCUCAAAGCAGGCAUUUCGCCUAAAUAUUCUUGCAUGGAAUAAUGGAAUAAGAUCUAGGUUCUAUUCUGUUGGUCUUUUGAACCUCAGUUAAUGAUUAAAAGGGACAGACGGGGGCAUUCGUAUUGCGGCGCUAGAGGUGAAAUUCUUGGACCGUCGCAAGACGAACUAC
RNAcentral lists this ribosomal RNA (345 nucleotides) under Demodex folliculorum. Its description in RNAcentral is "SSU rRNA". It matches the Rfam family "Eukaryotic small subunit ribosomal RNA", at positions 597 to 943 of the family's 1831-position model. The record is from RNAcentral. Lineage: Eukaryota; Metazoa; Arthropoda; Arachnida; Trombidiformes; Demodicidae.